Molecule: long non-coding RNA, 4689 nt
Organism: Oncorhynchus keta (chum salmon)
Lineage: Eukaryota; Metazoa; Chordata; Actinopteri; Salmoniformes; Salmonidae
Exons: 3
Source: RefSeq, a predicted model, not a curated record
GCGAGAUUCCGCAAAGCCUGGUCUCUGCUCCACUCUGUUGGUGAAGUUCACCAUAAACUUCCUUCACCGUGGAAUGAGGUUUAGUCCGCUAGGGGCAGACCUUGAGUUGGAGCCUAUUGGCCUACCGAAAUGUGUUCUAUGACUAAAAAGAAAGUAAAGGUGAUAAAUGUAUUAUAUCUUAGUAGAAAUGGCAAUACUAACGAGGUGUCUAUUCUCCAUGUCAGUUUAUCAGCACUUCUCUCCUGUCUGCCAGCGAGGAGGAGGAGGAGGUCUCUGUUGUUUCUUCAUUUACGUCACCCCUCUUUCAAUCCCUUCCUCCUUCCGUCCUGCUCUACAUACAACGUCAACGGGGGACACCACGUUCAAACUGGUUUCUCAUAUUAACACCCACCACAAUCACUUCGCCACCAUAAACCUCUUUUGGAACCAGGUGAGUUGAAUAUCUGUUAAUUGGUGACAUAAAGGAAGGAAACAACAGAGCGAAUAGAGUAGACCGACCGGAGAGGCGACAGUGUUUCUAGUCGAGCGUCAUUUAUCUCUUUCCUUUUCCCUCGGUUUGGAAAUGGCUCUCAGUGUAUCGCCAGUGUGUAAUGUGCUUGUUUACGCGGUUGUUUCUUCAUGGCGGUUAACAUCGGCUUGUAAACAAAAAGCCCGUCUACGUCAGCCACUAUGUAGCCAAAAUGUCGUCUUUUAUUUGACUUCCACAUUCCAUGUCCCAUGCCACAAACCGAUGGCGUCGUGAGGGGGGAUGGAGGGAGUGUGAAAGAGACCCAUAAACGAGUAGCGAGGCCACACUAGGUAUCCCCAUGUCAGAGCUGAGCCCUCCAUGCACGAACCUAUCUUUAGUAGGCCCGUCCAGAACCUGUCUUUCUUCAACUUAGUUUUCCUGUCAAGUUAUCGGCCCAUUUAAAGAUACAGCGCGUGUUCAGAGGCUAAUAAUGACCAACCAAUUGAAACGAGUCCCGAUGUUUUUUUUUGUGCUGGUGGAUACAUUUGGUACGACCAUGGAGGAAUGGUUAGGCUACUUUGAAACGGAUAAUGUAGGUCUGCCAGGUCUGAGUUGGUGAGGAUACGUUGUUGCAGACACUUCAUUGCAUCAGCAUGCAAUAGACUGGAGGCUGAUGCUUCUUGUUCCCAAUGAAUGGAUUUCUGACCCAAUUUCUAGUCUUUUGUGAAGCAUCAGCAUUAGCCUCAACUACAGUUAUAAUCUAGUCCAGGGGAACACAGAUCUGGCCCUACGAGGUCUGGACUACUGCUGCUUUUCUGUUCUACCUGAUAAUGAAUUGCACCCACAAUACAGUCAGGGGCAGAUCUUUAGGCAACACAGUGAUAUGGAUUGUUGUACUGCAUUACAGGUACGCCCAAUGUAAUAGAUCAUUAAUAGGAGUCAGAUCUUGGUGAAUAAACACUGUCGCAGGUAGUGCACUGCAGACCAGGUGCUACUGAACAUCUGGUUUAUGAGUUGAUAGUCUGGUACUGUAGAUUAUAGUAAUGUCAUGGAGGUGGUACAGUAGAUUAUAGUAAUGUCAUGGAGGUGGUACAGUAGAUUAUAGUAAUGUCAUGGAGGUGGUACUGUAGAUUAUAGUAAUGUCAUGGAGGUGGUAUAGUAGAUUAUAGUAAUGUCAUGGAGGUGGUACAGUAGAUUAUAGUAAUGUCAUGGAGGUGGUACAGUAGAUUACAGUAAUGUCAUGGAGGUGGUACAGUAGAUUAUAGUAAUGUCAUGGAGGUGGUACAGUAGAUUAUAGUAAUGUCAUGGAGGUGGUACAGUAGAUUAUAGUAAUGUCAUGGAGGUGGUACAGUAGAUUAUAGUAAUGUCAUGGAGGUGGUACAGUAGAUUAUAGUAAUGUCAUGGAGGUGGUACUGUAGAUUAUAGUAAUGUCAUGGAGGUGGUACAGUAGAUUAUAGUAAUGUCAUGGAGGUGGUACUGUAGAUUAUAGUAAUGUCAUGGAGGUGGUACUGUAGAUUAUAGUAAUGUCAUGGAGGUGGUACAGUAGAUUAUAGUAAUGUCAUGGAGGUGGUACAGUAGAUUAUAGUAAUGUCAUGGAGGUGGUACAGUAGAUUAUAGUAAUGUCAUGGAGGUGGUACAGUAGAUUAUAGUAAUGUCAUGGAGGUGGUACAGUAGAUUAUAGUAAUGUCAUGGAGGUGGUACUGUAGAUUAUAGUAAUGUCAUGGAGGUGGUAUAGUAGAUUAUAGUAAUGUCAUGGAGGUGGUACAGUAGAUUAUAGUAAUGUCAUGGAGGUGGUACAGUAGAUUAUAGUAAUGUCAUGGAGGUGGUACAGUAGAUUAUAGUAAUGUCAUGGAGGUGGUACAGUAGAUUACAGUAAUGUCAUGGAGGUGGUACAGUAGAUUAUAGUAAUGUUAUGGAGGUGGUAUAGCAGAUUAUAGUAAUGUCAUGGAGGUGGUACUGUAUAUUAUAGUAAUGUCAUGGAGGUGGUACAGUAGAUUAUAGUAAUGUCAUGGAGGUGGUACUGUAGAUUAUAGUAAUGUCAUGGAGGUGGUACUGUAGAUUAUAGUAAUGUCAUGGAGGUGGUACAGUAGAUUAUAGUAAUGUCAUGGAGGUGGUACUGUAGAUUAUAGUAAUGUCAUGGAGGUGGUACAGUAGAUUAUAGUAAUGUCAUGGAGGUGGUACAGUAGAUUAUAGUAAUGUCAUGGAGGUGGUACAGUAGAUUAUAGUAAUAGUAAUGUCAUGGAGGUGGUACUGUAUAUUAUAGUAAUGUCAUGGAGGUGGUAUAGUAGAUUAUAGUAAUGUCAUGGAGGUGGUACUGUAGAUUAUAGUAAUGUCAUGGAGGUGGUACAGUAGAUUAUAGUAAUGUCAUGGAGGUGGUACAGUAGAUUAUAGUAAUGUCAUGGAGGUGGUACAGUAGAUUAUAGUAAUGUCAUGGAGGUGGUACUGUAGAUUAUAGUAAUGUCAUGGAGGUGGUACAGUAGAUUAUAGUAAUGUCAUGGAGGUGGUACAGUAGAUUAUAGUAAUGUCAUGGAGGUGGUACAGUAGAUUAUAGUAAUGUCAUGGAGGUGGUACAGUAGAUUAUAGUAAUGUCAUGGAGGUGGUACAGUAGAUUAUAGUAAUGUCAUGGAGGUGGUACAGUAGAUUAUAGUAAUGUCAUGGAGGUGGUACAGUAGAUUAUAGUAAUGUCAUGGAGGUGGUACAGUAGAUUAUAGUAAUGUCAUGGAGGUGGUACAGUAGAUUAUAGUAAUGUCAUGGAGGUGGUACUGUAGAUUAUAGUAAUAGUAAUGUCAUGGAGGUGGUACAGUAGAUUAUAGUAAUGUCAUGGAGGUGGUACUGUAGAUUAUAGUAAUGUCAUGGAGGUGGUACAGUAGAUUAUAGUAAUGUCAUGGAGGUGGUACAGUAGAUUAUAGUAAUGUCAUGGAGGUGGUACUGUAGAUUAUAGUAAUGUCAUGGAGGUGGUACUGUAGAUUAUAGUAAUGUCAUGGAGGUGGUACUGUAGAUUAUAGUAAUGUCAUGGAGGUGGUACUGUAGAUUAUAGUAAUGUCAUGGAGGUGGUAUAGUAGAUUAUAGUAAUGUCAUGGAGGUGGUACUGUAGAUUAUAGUAAUGUCAUGGAGGUGGUACUGUAGAUUAUAGUAAUGUCAUGGAGGUGGUACUGUAGAUUAUAGUAAUGUCAUGGAGAUGGUACAGUAGAUUAUAGUAAUGUCAUGGAGGUGGUACAGUAGAUUAUAGUAAUGUCAUGGAGGUGGUACAGUAGAUUAUAGUAAUGUCAUGGAGGUGGUACAGUAGAUUAUAGUAAUGUCAUGGAGGUGGUACAGUAGAUUAUAGUAAUGUCAUGGAGGUGGUACAGUAGAUUAUAGUAAUGUCAUGGAGGUGGUACAGUAGAUUAUAGUAAUGUCAUGGAGGUGGUACUGUAGAUUAUAGUAAUGUCAUGGAGGUGGUACUGUAGAUUAUAGUAAUGUCAUGGAGGUGGUACUGUAGAUUAUAGUAAUGUCAUGGAGGUGGUACAGUAGAUUAUAGUAAUGUCAUGGAGGUGGUACUGUAGAUUAUAGUAAUGUCAUGGAGGUGGUACUGUAGAUUAUAGUAAUGUCAUGGAGGUGGUAUAGUAGAUUAUAGUAAUGUCAUGGAGGUGGUACAGUAGAUUAUAGUAAUGUCAUGGAGGUGGUACUGUAGAUUAUAGUAAUGUCAUGGAGGUGGUACAGUAGAUUAUAGUAAUGUCAUGGAGGUGGUACAGUAGAUUAUAGUAAUGUCAUGGAGGUGGUACAGUAGAUUAUAGUAAUGUCAUGGAGGUGGUACAGUAGAUUAUAGUAAUGUCAUGGAGGUGGUACAGUAGAUUAUAGUAAUGUCAUGGAGGUGGUACUGUAGAUUAUAGUAAUGUCAUGGAGGUGGUACAGUAGAUUAUAGUAAUAGUAAUGUCAUGGAGGUGGUACAGUAGAUUAUAGUAAUGUCAUGGAGGUGGUACAGUAGAUUAUAGUAAUGUCAUGGAGGUGGUACUGUAGAUUAUAGUAAUGUCAUGGAGGUGGUACUGUAGAUUAUAGUAAUGUCAUGGAGGUGGUACUGUAGAUUAUAGUAAUAGUAAUGUCAUGGAGGUGGUACAGUAGAUUAUAGUAAUGUCAUGGAGGUGGUACAGUAGAUUAUAGUAAUGUCAUGGAGGUGGUACAGUAGAUUAUAGUAAUGUCAUGGAGGUGGUACUGUAGAUUAUAGUAAUGUCAUGGAGAUGGUACAGUAGAUUAUAGUAAUGUCA